Molecule: transfer RNA, 73 nt
Filed under: Mustela putorius furo (domestic ferret)
Lineage: Eukaryota; Metazoa; Chordata; Mammalia; Carnivora; Mustelidae
Also listed under: 1 other name
Rfam family: tRNA
About the family: Transfer RNA (tRNA) molecules are approximately 80 nucleotides in length. Their secondary structure includes four short double-helical elements and three loops (D, anti-codon, and T loops). Further hydrogen bonds mediate the characteristic L-shaped molecular structure. tRNAs have two regions of fundamental functional importance: the anti-codon, which is responsible for specific mRNA codon recognition, and the 3' end, to which the tRNAs corresponding amino acid is attached (by aminoacyl-tRNA synthetases). tRNAs cope with the degeneracy of the genetic code in two manners: having more than one tRNA (with a specific anti-codon) for a particular amino acid; and 'wobble' base-pairing, i.e. permitting non-standard base-pairing at the 3rd anti-codon position.
Source: Rfam by way of RNAcentral
CUCCGGCUAGCUCACUCAGAAGAGCACAUGACUCUAAAUCUUGGGGUUGUGAGUUCAAGCCCCAUGUUGGGUG